Molecule: long non-coding RNA, 257 nt
Filed under: Hordeum vulgare
Lineage: Eukaryota; Viridiplantae; Streptophyta; Magnoliopsida; Poales; Poaceae
Description: long non-coding RNA (HVUL_LNC009520)
Source: RNAcentral
GGGUUUCGGGGCAUUUUGGUGAACCAAAACUAUUUGAUUGUAAUAAAUUUGGAAAGAUCAUCACAUUAGACUUAUGUUACUUGCUAGAAUUUUUUUGGAUUUAUUUCACAAUAUUUCUUACAAAAAUAUUUCAAAUACUUGAAAUAUCUAGAAACGGUUUUGGCGGGUAUUUGUCCAAUAUUUUGAACAUGGCCAAGUGAUGAAAGUCAUAUAUAUGGUAAAUAUAUGUCCACCAAGCUUCCGUAAAGCACUCCAAU